AGUGAACGCUGGCGGUAUGCCUAACACAUGCAAGUCGAACGGCAGCACAGUAAGAGCUUGCUCUUACGGGUGGCGAGUGGCGGACGGGUGAGGAAUACAUCGGAAUCUACUUUUUCGUGGGGGAUAACGUAGGGAAACUUACGCUAAUACCGCAUACGACCUACGGGGGAAAGCAGGGGAUCUUCGGACCUUGCGCGGUUGAAUGAGCCGAUGUCGGAUUAGCUAGUUGGCGGGGUAAAGGCCCACCAAGGCGACGAUCCGUAGCUGGUCUGAGAGGAUGAUCAGCCACACUGGAACUGAGACACGGUCCAGACUCCUACGGGAGGCAGCAGUGGGGAAUAUUGGACAAUGGGCGCAAGCCUGAUCCAGCCAUACCGCGUGGGUGAAGAAGGCCUUCGGGUUGUAAAGCCCUUUUGUUGGGAAAGAAAAGCAGCAGGUUAAUACGCCGCUGUUCUGACGGUACCCAAAGAAUAAGCACCGGCUAACUUCGUG
This 492-nucleotide ribosomal RNA is filed under the name uncultured bacterium. Its description in RNAcentral is "partial 16S ribosomal RNA". It matches the Rfam family "Bacterial small subunit ribosomal RNA", at positions 29 to 507 of the family's 1533-position model. The record is from RNAcentral.